CAUAUCCAAUAGCGGAGGAAAAGAAACUAACAAGGAUUCCCCUAGUAACGGCGAGUGAACCGGGAAGAGCUCAAAUUUGAAAUCUGGCGUGCUCAGUGCGUCCGAGUUGUAAUCUAUAGAGUCGUUUUCCGUGCCGGACUGUGUCCAAGUCCCUUGGAACAGGGUAUCAAAGAGGGUGAUAAUCCCGUACUUGACACAAUGACCGGUGCUCUGUGAUACGUCUUCUACGAGUCGAGUUGUUUGGGAAUGCAGCUCAAAAUGGGUGGUGAGUUCCAUCUAAAGCUAAAUAUUGGCGAGAGACCGAUAGCGAACAAGUACCGUGAGGGAAAGAUGAAAAGCACUUUGGAAAGAGAGUUAAACAGUACGUGAAAUUGUUAAAAGGGAAACGAUUGAAGUCAGUCGUGACUGAGAGGCUCAGCCGGUUCUGCCGGUGUAUUCCCCUCAGUCGGGUCAACAUCAGUUUUGUUCGGUGGAUAAGGGCGGUUGGAAGGUGGCACCCUCGGGUGUGUUAUAGCCAACUGUCGCAUACAUCGGAUGAGACUGAGGAAUGCAGCUCGCCUUUAUGGCCGGGGUUCGCCCACGUUCGAGCUUAGGAUGUUGACAUAAUGGCUUUAAACGACCCGUCUU
RNAcentral lists this ribosomal RNA (627 nucleotides) under Papiliotrema flavescens. RNAcentral describes it as "partial large subunit ribosomal RNA". It matches the Rfam family "Eukaryotic large subunit ribosomal RNA", at positions 39 to 655 of the family's 3401-position model. Lineage: Eukaryota; Fungi; Basidiomycota; Tremellomycetes; Tremellales; Rhynchogastremaceae. The record is from RNAcentral.